This 521-nucleotide ribosomal RNA is filed under the name uncultured Oscillibacter sp. RNAcentral describes it as "bacterial SSU rRNA". It matches the Rfam family "Bacterial small subunit ribosomal RNA", at positions 8 to 507 of the family's 1533-position model. The record is from RNAcentral. Lineage: Bacteria; Bacillati; Bacillota; Clostridia; Eubacteriales; Oscillospiraceae.
AGAGUUUGUAUCCUCGGCGUCAGGACGAACGCUGGCGGCGUGCUUAACUACAUGCAAGUCGAACGGAGGCACCCUUCGUAAAGAAGUUUUCGGGUACAAUGGAGAGGAAUGCUUAGUGGCGGACUGGUGAGUAACGACGUGAGGAACCUGCCUUCCAGAGGGGGACGAACAGUUGGAAACGACUGCUAAUACCGCAUGACACAUUUGAAUCGCAUGGUUUGUAAUGUCAAAGAUUUAUCGCUGGAAGAUGGCCUCGCGUCUGAUUAGUCUAGUAGGCGGGGUAACGGGACCCGACCCUACGGCGACGAUCAGUAGCCGGACUGAGGAGGUUGACCGGCCACAUUGGGACUGAGAUACGGCCCAGACUCCUACGGGAGGCAGCAGUGGGGAAUAUUGGGCAAUGGGCGCAAGCCUGACCCAGCAACGCCGCGUGAAGGAAGAAGGCUUUCGGGUUGUAAACUUCUUUUAAGAGGGAAGAGCAGAAGACGGUACCUCUUGAAUAAGCCACGGCUAACUACGUG